RNAcentral lists this ribosomal RNA (354 nucleotides) under uncultured bacterium. Its description in RNAcentral is "bacterial SSU rRNA". It matches the Rfam family "Bacterial small subunit ribosomal RNA", at positions 1 to 334 of the family's 1533-position model. The record is from RNAcentral.
CUAGCGACUUCAGAGUUUGAUCCUGGCUCAGGAUGAACGCUGGCGGCGUGCCUAACACAUGCAAGUCGAGCGAGAUGUUUCCAUAUGAGGCUUCGGCGGAUUAUGGAGACGGAAAGCGGCGGACGGGUGAGUAACGCGUAGGUAACCUGCCCCAUACAGAGGGAUAGCCACUGGAAACGGUGAUUAAUACCUCAUAAGACUGAGGAUACACAUGUAUCUGCGGCCAAAGAUUUAUCGGUAUGGGAUGGACCUGCGUCUGAUUAGCUAGUUGGUGGGGUAACGGCUCACCAAGGCGACGAUCAGUAGCCGACCUGAGAGGGUGAUCGGCCACAUUGGAACUGAGACACGGUCCAA